RNAcentral lists this unclassified non-coding RNA (269 nucleotides) under uncultured Acremonium. Its description in RNAcentral is "sequence contains ITS2". The stretch from base 1 to 52 matches the Rfam family "5.8S ribosomal RNA", at positions 103 to 154 of the family's 154-position model. Lineage: Eukaryota; Fungi; Ascomycota. The record is from RNAcentral.
AACGCACAUUGCGCCCGCUAGUAUUCUGGCGGGCAUGCCUGUCUGAGCGUCAUUUCAACCCUCGCCCCCGGCUUUUGCUGGGAGCGGUGUUGGGGAUCGGCCGCCCGUCACUGGGAGGCCGGCCCCGAAAUAGAGUGGCGACCACGCCGUGUGCUCCUCUGCGUAGUAGUAAAUCACCUCGCAGGCGGACAGCGGUGCGGCCUGCCGUAAAACCCCCAACUCUUUCAAUGGUUGACCUCAGAUCAGGUAGGAAUACCCGCUGAACUUAA